UACGUAGGGAGCUAGCGCUGUUCGGAAUCACUGGGCGUGAAGCGCACGUAGGCGGCUUUGCAAGUUAGAGGUGAAAGCCCGGGGCUCAACUCCGGAACUGCCUUUAAGACUGCAUCGCUUGAAUCCGGGAGAGGUGAGUGGAAUUCCCAGUGUAGAGGUGAAAUUCGUAGAUAUUCGGAAGAACACCAGUGGCGAAGGCGGCUCACUGGACCGGUAUUGACGCUCAGGCGUGAAAGCGUGGGGAGCAAACAGG
Molecule: ribosomal RNA, 253 nt
Filed under: uncultured bacterium
Lineage: Bacteria
Description: partial 16S ribosomal RNA
Rfam family: Bacterial small subunit ribosomal RNA
Source: RNAcentral